AGAGACAUCGUCUAAUGGAUAAGACAUCCGACCCUAAAAUUUAUAAAAUUAUCUCGGAAAAUGCAGGUUCGAAUCCUGACCGUCUCAC
RNAcentral lists this transfer RNA (88 nucleotides) under Flavobacteriaceae bacterium. Its description in RNAcentral is "tRNA-OTHER". It matches the Rfam family "tRNA". From Rfam's summary of the family: Transfer RNA (tRNA) molecules are approximately 80 nucleotides in length. Their secondary structure includes four short double-helical elements and three loops (D, anti-codon, and T loops). Further hydrogen bonds mediate the characteristic L-shaped molecular structure. tRNAs have two regions of fundamental functional importance: the anti-codon, which is responsible for specific mRNA codon recognition, and the 3' end, to which the tRNAs corresponding amino acid is attached (by aminoacyl-tRNA synthetases). tRNAs cope with the degeneracy of the genetic code in two manners: having more than one tRNA (with a specific anti-codon) for a particular amino acid; and 'wobble' base-pairing, i.e. permitting non-standard base-pairing at the 3rd anti-codon position. The record is from RNAcentral. Lineage: Bacteria; Pseudomonadati; Bacteroidota; Flavobacteriia; Flavobacteriales; Flavobacteriaceae.